ACUCCUACGGGAGGCAGCAGUGGGGAAUAUUGCACAAUGGGCGCAAGCCUGAUGCAGCAACGCCGCGUGAGCGAUGAAGGCCUUCGGUCGUAAAGCUCUGUCCUCAAGGAAGAAUAAAUAGACGGUACUUGAGGAGGAAGCCCGGCUAACUACGUGCCAGCAGCCGCGGUAAUACGUAGGGGGCAAGCGUUAUCCGGAAUCACUGGGGCGUAAAGGGGUGCGUAGGCGGUUUUCAAGUCAGAAGUGAAAGGCUAUGGCUCAACCAUAGUAAGCUUUUGAAACUGUUAAACUUGAGUGCAGGAGAGGAAAGUGGAAUUCCUAGUGUAGAGGUGAAAUUCGUAGAUAUUAGGAGGAACACCAGUGGCGAAGGCGACUUUCUGGACUGUAACUGACGCUGAGGCACGAAAGCGUGGGGAGCGAACAGGAUUAGAUACCCUGGUAGCACAGGG
This 449-nucleotide ribosomal RNA is filed under the name uncultured bacterium. RNAcentral's name for it is "bacterial SSU rRNA". It matches the Rfam family "Bacterial small subunit ribosomal RNA", at positions 335 to 800 of the family's 1533-position model. The record is from RNAcentral.